CCGAGUUUACAACUCCCAAACCCCUGUGAACAUACCACUUGUUGCCUCGGCGGAUCAGCCCGCGCCCCGUAAAAAGGGACGGCCCGCCCGAGGACCCCUAAACUCUGUUUUUAGUGGAACUUCUGAGUAAAACAAACAAAUAAAUCA
This 147-nucleotide unclassified non-coding RNA is filed under the name soil metagenome. RNAcentral's name for it is "partial internal transcribed spacer 1". The record is from RNAcentral.